AACGAACGCUGGCGGCAGGCUUAACACAUGCAAGUCGAACGCCCCGCAAGGGGAGUGGCAGACGGGUGAGUAACACGUGGGAACGUACCCUUUGGUUCGGAAUAACUUGGGGAAACUCAAGCUAAUACCGGAUAAGCCCUUAUGGGGAAAGGUUUACUGCCGAAGGAUCGGCCCGCGUCUGAUUAGCUAGUUGGUGAGGUAAUGGCUCACCAAGGCGACGAUCAGUAGCUGGUCUGAGAGGAUGAUCAGCCACACUGGGACUGAGACACGGCCCAGACUCCUACGGGAGGCAGCAGUGGGGAAUAUUGGACAAUGGGGGCAACCCUGAUCCAGCCAUGCCGCGUGAGUGAUGAAGGCCUUAGGGUUGUAAAGCUCUUUUACCCGGGACGAUAAUGACUGUACCGGGAGAAUAAGCCCCGGCUAACUUCGUGCCAGCCGCCGCCGUAA
This 447-nucleotide ribosomal RNA is filed under the name uncultured bacterium. RNAcentral's name for it is "partial 16S ribosomal RNA". It matches the Rfam family "Bacterial small subunit ribosomal RNA", at positions 29 to 523 of the family's 1533-position model. The record is from RNAcentral.